GACGAACGCUGGCGGCGUGCUUAACACAUGCAAGUCGAACGGAAAGGCCCUGCUUUUGUGGGGUGCUCGAGUGGCGAACGGGUGAGUAACACGUGAGUAACCUGCCCUUGACUUUGGGAUAACUUAAGGACACUGGGGCUAAUACCGGCUAGGAGCUCCUGCUGCAUGGUGGGGGUUGGAAAGUUUCGGCGGUUGGGGAUGGACUCGCGGCUUAUCAGCUUGUUGGUGGGGUAGUGGCUUACCAAGGCUUUGACGGGUAGCCGGCCUGAGAGGGUGGCCGGCCACAUUGGGACGGAGAUACGGCCCAGACUCCUACGGGAGGCAGCGGUGGGGAAUAUUGCACAAUGGGCGGAAGCCUGAUGCAGCAACGCCGCGUGCGGGAUGACAGCCUUCGGUUUGUAAACCGCUUUCGCCUGUGACGAAGCGUGAGUGACGGUAAUGGGUAAAGAAGCACCGGCUAACUACGUG
Molecule: ribosomal RNA, 468 nt
Filed under: uncultured bacterium
Lineage: Bacteria
Description: partial 16S ribosomal RNA
Rfam family: Bacterial small subunit ribosomal RNA
Source: RNAcentral